GAGUAAUUGACUGAGAGAGAGAGGCAUUGUCAUAUGUGUAACACCUCUCUCAGUCAAUCACUCACACACUCGCUAAAGAAAAACAGAUGCGAGAGAAACUAAAAUAAAUUUACGCUAUCAUUCUUUCUCUCUCUCUCUCUCUCACACACAUACACACACAGCAACCCAUCCUUUCUCUCUGACAACACCCCCCUCUCUCUCUCAGUCAAUCACUCACACACAAAAAAGAUGCGAGAUAAAAUAAAUAAAUAAAAUGUACGCGGUCUCUCUCUCUCACACACACACACAACAUAUACUUUCUGUCUCGCACUCCCCAGCAACACGUCCCUGUCCAUUUCGUCUCUCUUUCACUUUAUGCUAACUUGAAACAAAAUGUAUAUUUCCACCCACAAAAAAAAACUGAAAAACAUUUUUUACGGAUUUUACCGAACGCUGUACCUUAACAGCUGAUUGAUCAGCUGUUCAGUUUGACAUUUCUGCGAGUCAUAUCGAAAGAUCGCCACUCAAGGACUGACAGUAACUUUUCGAAUACUAUUUCAAUGACAUCUAAACUCUCUCAACAUUUGUCGUAAUGCUAUUUCAAUAACACCCAAACUCUCUCAGUAAGAACAAAAGUUUGUUUGAAAAAAAAAAAAAAGACCACAACAGAUUUCGUCGUUUUUUAUGUACAACUAUUGACCUCCGACGCUAGAAAUAGCAGCCAACAUCCAACAACCAAGAGUCAGCUCCCCACAUCAGCGAACAUAUUCACCUCCUAACACUUUGCUGUGUUGUGAAAUUACAAGAAAUUUUCUAUUAACUUGGUUUUAUAUGGGAACACGUAGCCUAAACAAUAUUCAAUUACCCAUCAAAACCAACGUUGUAGGCUCAAUAUAGACAUAUUGAGUAAAAAAAUAAGGUUGUGACCAGCUUGUUAGAAAGAGAGAGAGAGAGAGAACGACGAGGAUGUCUUUGAAUGUGUGAAAAAAUGCCAUCACAGUCACACAUCUUGGUUUGCUGUUAAAUAUUUUCUAUUUAUUGUGAUAUCAAAAAAUAAAUUAUCUAUAUCUAGUUAUCUUUUAAAAUUUCCCUCCGUAAUUUCUCAUUUUCAUUGUCAAGGUAUUUUAAAUAGCAUUCAUUUAUAGGGAAAGUAAAAAGAAAAAGCAGGAGACUUCUUUUUUUCUUUACGUCUUUCAGUUUCACGUAUUUAAAAAAAAAGUAUUUACUUCCCAACACCUUUCCUUUCUGUCUUCGCAAGUCACCUUUCCAUAUCCCUUAUUUACUCCGUAAAAUCCUUUCACUUGUCGUAGUCUCUUUCAUCUUCAUCCAUUUACUUUCGCUUCUUUUAUUCAUCCUAUUCUCUUUUAUCGCCAUCUAUUUUUUUUUUUCAUCUGAACCAUUUUCGUUACCGACCUCUUUCUUUAAUUCUUUCCUACUUACACUUUAAUAUCACUUAUAUUCCUUCUUUCUCUCCCCACCUCUUUACUAUUAUCUCUGCACUUUUUCUCGCUCACAUUUUCCCAAUUCAGUCUUUCCUCUUUUUCUUUUGAUUUUUGUGAUUUCUUUUUCCUAUUAACAAUCUCCUUUUCCAUUUCAUAUAUUCAUUUUUUUUAUAUAGUUUUAUUUUAUUACGUUCCUUUUACAUCUGAUACCUUUCUUUAAUCAUUUUCUUAAAAGAGAGCCUCCAUUUCUUCCUUGUCUCCUCCUACCCAUCUCUCUUUAUUCUUUAAAUAUCUCUGCUUUCUCCUAUCAUUUAUCCCUCUCUUUUCACAUGACUGACUUGCCUUAUCUUCUGCUUCUUCCUCCAUAGUAUUUUCUUCGAAACUCCCCUUCACUCUUUGCUCGCUCUAUAUUUCGAACUUGUCUCUUUUCACAUCAACUUUUGAUAUAAAAAAAGACAAUCGUUAAUUUCCUCUCAAAUCUCAUUUUACGUCGUUAGUGUCACUCCUCCUUUCUCCUUCUCCUCUUCUACAUUAACUCAAUUUGUCAUUGCACUUCCACCGACAUCAUCUUCACUUUAAAUUAUUCCUCCCUCCUACUCCCGCACAUUAGUAUUACCUCCACUUCACAUUACUUCUUCCUCCUCACCAACAUCACCUCAAUUUCUUCUUCCAUCUCUUUGUCUUUUCUGUUUCUCAUACAUUUCCACUCCCCUUGAUUUACUUCUUUCUCUGCUUCGUUGCUUCAACAUAUGCAGAACAUCACACUAUUGCUAUUAUACAUGUAUAUCUAAACAGAGAGAGAGGGAGCGAGAUCAGUGUCGUGUAGUAGUAAUCCUUAGAGGUGUGUACACAGUGCUACCAUAUUUACUCAAAUAAAAAUGCAAAUUUUAGAUUAUUUCUAGGCAUAGUUUCGGUUGUAGUAGCACAGAUUUCCGUCGAUUUCCGUAAAAAACUUUUAUUUUUUUACAUAAGUAAUGAGAGCGAAAGAGACUAAGAGGAAGCGAUUUUACGACGAGAAGGUUUCACUUUGAAGUCGGCCUGUGUGUGUUUGAUGGGGUGUGGGAGACAGACAGUAUGUUGUGUAAGUGAAGUGCUUCUGUUAGUAUGUGUGAAGAGACAGACAUACAUAUACACAUACACCGAGUAAAAAAUUACUAUGAAUCGGCCAUACAUACAUACAUACACACACAUACAUAGAUACAUACACACACACACAUACAUACAUACACACACACACACACACACAUGCAGACAUACAUAUACACAUACACCGAGUAAAAAAUUAUGAAUCGGCCAUACAUACAUACAUACACACACACACAUACAUAGAUACAUACACACACACACAUACAUACAUACACACACACAUACUUACACACACACACAUACAUAGAUACAUACACACACACACACAUACAUGCAUACAUACAUAUACACAUACACCGAGUAAAAAAUUACUAUGAAUCGGCCAUACAUACACACACACACAUACAUAGAUACAUACACACACACACAUACAUACAUACAUACACACACACAUACUUACACACACACACAUAGAUACAUACACACACACACACACAUGCAUACAUACAUAUACACAUACACCGAGUAAAAAAUCAGUUAUCUCUCUCUUUCACACAUUACUCUCUCUGUCUCUUCGCACACACUAACAGAAGCACUUCACUUACACAACAUACUGUCUGUCUCCCACACCCCAUCAAACACACACAGGCCGACUUCAAAGUGAAACCUUCUCGUCGUAAAAUCGCUUCCUCUUAGUCUCUUUCGCUCUCAUUACUUAUGUAAAAAAAUAAAAGUUUUUUACGGAAAUCGACGGAAAUCUGAUCUACGACAUGCGAAACUUCGCCUAUUUCUAUAGAUAAUACGAUUUCGACUUGACUUUGAUUUUGAGUGUGUUGUAUAUUAGAAAACAGAUUACGACGAAGGAAAUCAGUUCAUGAAAUUUCAAUUUCUCACCAUGAAAACGAAUAAGAUGUCGCUCACCCUUCGGUACUUAUUUUUAUCUAGCUAACUCCCAUUAUCACUAUUCGCAGUGCCACAUAUCGAUAAAACAUACAGUAUAUUGUUAUAUCUACUUAAUGUUGAGAUAGCGUGUGCUUAUAAAAGUGUAGGUCAGUGUUGCUAACUUAAAAUCAGAAUUUUAUGCUAAAUUUCAAUGGAAAAAAUACAAAAAAAAAAAAAAAUGCUAAAUAUGACAAAAAGAAUGCUGAAGACUAAUUGUAUGAAAAAGCUUAAUUUUUAUUUACUUUCUUCAAUUUUAUUCAGCAAUAAUUUUUUGAACUUCACUGAUUUGAUCACUUUCAGCUGCAGUGCCUGGGUCUUGACUUCUGUAUACAUUCAAAGUCCCAAUCUUGUUAAUAUGUGUUUUGGAAUAUCGAAGUUUUUGCAACAUUUGCCAUAUCUUUUCAGGCCAUAUUAUAUAGACAGUAUUGAUCUAAGCAUAGGAAGAUGCAUUUUCCUUUUCAAUUUUGAUUUGAUUACACCCAUACUACUGAACAACCGUUCAACGUCUGCAUUUGUGUUUAGCAAUGUCAAUAGAUUAAUGGCAAAAUUUGCAACAUCUCCAAAAGGAUUUCCUCCAGUAGCAUCUUUAUAUUCCAAGACUUCCAGCUAGAAUCCCUCAGUAUUAGACGUAUUUGUCCAUUCAACUAAACAAAUGUUAUUAAACUGAAUUUCAAUUGAAGCAAUUUUUUCUUCAUUUAAAUGCAUUGCUUCUAAGAUAGGUAAAAUUAGCUCUUUGAAAUGCUGCAAAAUAUUCUCUACUGAAAAACAUUUGAUAUUCCUCAGUAUAUUAUUUCCUGGCAAACGGUGCUUGAGCUCUUCAUAAAGGCAGAGUAAAAAAUUUUGUGCUCUUUUGCAAAUAUUAUUUUCUUUGGUGGCUGUUACAGUCUUCUUGAUAAUCAUUUCUGCUAUCUUUCUCUUGAACCUGUAGCCUAAAUUUGGUUUAGGAUCCAGAAAGUUUUCAAUAGAAGCAUCUGGAUCAAGAGGAUCAAUUCUACAUGUUGGCAAUACUAUCAUAUUAGCAACAGAUUUGAUCAAAUUUGAAAGAUCUUCAAGUAAUUUUAUUCAAACAUUUUAUUCAAUUCCUGAACAUGUUUUAGAAUUGGAUGCAAAAAAUAAAAGGUAAAGUUCACUCCUAGAAUCACAAAACAUUUCAUGUAACGUUUGUGCUGUAAAGCAUUUUUCUUUUGUAGUUGUAGUUUGGAAGUGAGUUUGCAAUUCAAACUAUUGGCUUAAAAUUCUAUUUACUGUUGGUUCUAUUGACAGCCACCUAGUUGUACAAGAAUUCAUGAUCUUCAAAGGCUCUUUAUCAUUGAUAGUAAGGUGAAGUUGUUUGUAGGCAUUUUGUCUUGUUGAAGAGGACCAUUUAUAGGUUUCAGAUACUAAAAAUUCUAAAUUUAUGGGCAAACAUUCAGCACAAGUGUGGGAUACUGCCAAUUGUAAAGAAUGACAUACACAUCUAAAUAGAAGUAAUGAUGGAACUUCUUUUAAUUUCUGGAAAACACCAUUGUUAACUCCUAUCAUUACUCUAGUAUUGUCAGUUCCUAUAGCCAGUAAAUUUUUUAUAUCUAAUUUCUUUGUCACUAAUUCAAUUUUUAAUGCAUCUGCAAUGCCAUCUGCAUCAUAUGUUUCUAAAGAUACCAUACUGAGAUAUGUACCACUUUUUUGUGAGUGUCACUAUAAUAUAUGAUAACAAUUCCUAACAACUUGUUUAUCCAUAUAUCAUUGGAUUCAUCUAAAAACAAGCUAAAUUUUCUAAGCUAAAUUUUCUAUCUCCUAUAUCAGAAAUCAAAUCUCCAUCAAAAUAUGGAGCUAGAACAUUUCUCACAAUAUUUGCACGUUUUGUACAAUGCAACUUCACUUUGGAUAUAAUAUCACUAUCAGACAUAUAAUUCUUACAUAACUCUAUUAAGUGAUCACAGCUAUUAAAUGAUUAGUGGCAACAAAUAAACAUUGCUAAAUUUGCUUCAAGCAUAAAUGUCUUAUCAUUUUUGGUUUUAAUAAAAUUGGUAAGAGGAAUCAUUUGCUUUGGAAUUGAUGCCUUAUGUUUCUUUGCUUCACAGUGGCUUACUAAAAGAGACUAUUUUGCCAACAUUCCUUGUUUCUUUCUGUGUUGCUUUCUGUGGAAAAGCGUAUGCUCGAAACGUUAAAGUGACUGCAAUGGACAUGUUGGACAACAUACAGGGGGCUUCCAUGACAUACAUGGAGGCUAUGGUUUUGGUUCCUACAAUAAGGAGGGAACCAGGCUGCUGGAGUUCUGCGAUGCAAAUGAUCUUAUGGUUCGCAAUACUAGUCACCUAGUCACCUACUGCACUGGCAAACACACUAGCCAAAUUGACAACGAAAAAGGGAAAGAUGGCUGCUUAUAAAUGCCAAAACCUUCCCAGGUGAAGAAUGUACCUUCAACAUAGACUGGUAGUUAGCACUUCAGGAUCAGGGCUAAAUGGAUGCCCAGAAGAUGACCAGCAUGGAGGAGAUGGGUCUGGAAGCUUAAAGAUUCUGCAAAUGGACAAAGAUUUAGAGACAUAUUACUUGAAGUCUUUAAUGAAAUAGAAGGGGAUAUAGCUUCAUACAAUGUAGAAGACAACUGGAGGUUUCUACAGGACAGCCUGCUGAGGGUCACUGACCAGAUCUGUGGAUGGUGCGAAGUCCCCUCUCGACCCAAAAUAACGUGGUGGUGGAACAAUGUUGUUGACAGGGCUAUUACAGAAAAGAAACAGGCUUGGAAGGACUGGAAGAACAGUGGUAGCAGGGAAUUGUAUCAGACUGCCAGAAGGGAAGCUAGGAGACAGGUUUAUUUAGCCAGAGGGAGAGCAGAUAAGAAAAAAUUUACCAAUGUUCUGUGCCGUGAGGACCAAAGACUUGAGGUGUUUCAUGAUGUAGGAGAGAAAUGUGUCCACGUGGAUGGUGGUUCACUUGCACUAAACGAGGCUGCAAAGAGAGGUUUGGAGACGCCACUAUGAAAGGUUGCACAAUAAAGAAAAUAAACGGGAGUAAGAGAGUCUGCUGAAUGUUGACUCAAAAGAGGGACCAGCUAUCUGAAUUGACAGUACCUUGGUAGAUAAAGCAAUUAAGAGUAUGAAGACAGAGAAAGCUUCCAGCCCAUCAGGAAUCACUGCAGAGAUGCUCAAAAUAUUUGGCGGUGUUGGCUGUAGCCUAGUCACCCGUAUAGUUAACCAGGUGAUACACGAAGGAGUCAUACCCAAUUACUGGUGUAGCAGCACUAUAGUCAACUGCUACAAAGGUAAAGGUGACGCUUUAGAUACAAAUAAUUACAGAAGUAUUAAGUCGUUGGAUCAGGUAAUGAAGGUCAUGGAGAGGGUCAUAGCCCAACGAAUUAGGGAGAGAGUUAGUUUAGAUGAGAUGCAGCUUGGGUUCGUGCCAGGGAAAAGCACCACUGAUGCUAUAUUUCUGGUAAGACAACUGCAGGAGAAAUACCUAGCCAAAGAUAAACCUCUGUACCUAGCUUUUGUUGACAUAGAAAAAGCCUUUGACAGGGUCCCCCAAUCCCUUAUCUGGUGGUCAAUGAGGAAACUAGGGAUAGAUGAAUGGUUAGUGAGAGCUGUGCAAGCUAUGUACAAGGACACUGUCAGUAAGGUGAGGGUUGGCAACAAGUACAGUGAAGAAUUCCGGGUAGAGGUAGGGGUCCACCAAGGUUCAGUCCUCACCCCCACCUAUUUAUCAUAGUCCUCCUGGCAAUAACAGAGGAAUUGAAGACAGUAUGCCCCUGGGAGCUGGUCUAUGCUGAUGACCUUGCUCUAAUUGCUGAGUCACUAUCAGAACUAGAGGAGAAGUUUCAGGUGUAGAAACAAGGAUUAGAAUCGAAGGGCCUUGGAGUCAACCUAGCUAAAACCAAAGUCCUAAUAAGUAGGAAGGCAGACAAAUCACAAACGCCUUAUCUAUAAUACAUUAAAAGUCAGUUUGAAUCUUGCUUGCUGACGCUUAAUGGGAAAAUACUAUGAAUUAAGUUUACCCUGAAAUGUUAAUACAAACAGAAUAAAAGAAGUUACAUGCAAAUCAGACAAGUGGUUUCAGAGAUAUUAGAGGUUUCCGGGAAUAAAUACUCAAAACAGUGCAUAAUGGGAAAAUAUUCUGAAAAUAAUCUUAAAUCCUUUUUAUUUAGAAAUCUAUAAUGAACAGGUCAGAUGCUAAACUGAAAAAAUUCACAGGGUUACAACCUUAAAGUUGACACCGCUCUGCUAAAUGCAAAAAAAUUCUGUCACGCUAUUGGCUAAAAACACCCAGUUUUUUCGAUUUUUAAUCCUCUGUAACAUUUUUCUCCAAUUUUUUUUCUCCACAAUAUGUUACUUUCAAAUCAAUGAGAUUGGAAGGCUACAUUAUUAUAGCCAGUUUUCAGAUGUUUUAAUGCAUAUUUUGCAAAUGCAAAAAAAACUAGAUCCUGAUUUCAAAAAUGUAAGUUAUUUUGUACAGUAAGUAUUUAUAUCUUAGCCUUCAUUUUUAAUGUUUUUUUAAAAAUUAUUUUGAAGUGAAUACCAUUACCAUAUUUUUUUUGGCAUAUUUAAAAAAUAUUUUAAAGUGAAAAUGACUUUAAAAAUACAGUAAAUAUUUUGUAAAAGACCCAUUUGUAAUCUCAGUGUGAAAUAGUUUUUUCCAUAGGUUUUUUGAGUGCAUUCAAUGUAUUUCACCUCCAAAGAUUUGGCCGCUAUUUCUAGCACACCAUGCUCCCACGUAACAGCUAUUUACAAUAAAGAACCUGAAAUACCUGUUACGUGGUAACAGGGCGUGCAAGAAAUAGCAGCCAAAUCUUUCCAUUUCUGGGGAAAGGAGCUGCGUCUACAUGUGAUUUCAAUGUCACAUUCAUUGAAAGCAUGCAAAAUAGCCUGGAAAAGAAAAAAAUCCACAAAACAAAACUCCAUUGCUGGGAAACUCAGAGUUUCCUGGUGACCCAACAGGUCACAGGUAGUCUAGUUGUUGCAUAUUUAUGAAUUUAUAAAAUUAAAUAUUCAUUAUUUUCCUCAGCACAAAGUUACAAACUGUAAUUUGACUCGGAUCUUGUUAAAUUUCUUCUGAUCAUGAGUAUUUCAAAUUUUCACUAGAUUAUUUUCAAAAGAUGUACUUGAUUGGAAUUAUACUUUAUUGCCCUUCCUCCUCUGUUGAAGGCUGAAAGUAAAAGUCCACUUCGAUUUCUGGCAAUGAUUUUUUCUAAUUUUGGCACAAGGCCAGCAAUUUUGAGGGGAGGGGGAAGUCAGUUACAUCAAUACCAGUGUUUGAUUGAUACUUAUUUUACCAAUACUGAAAGUAUGAAAGACAAAGUUGACUUCAACGGUACUUGAACUCAGAACGUAAAAAGCCAGAACAAAUGCUGCCCACUUGCUGCCUUUAGAUAUCUAAUAAUAAUGGCUGGUAAUUACUUCCAAGCAUGGUUCUGGCUGUAGUUAAUAAAUUCACUCAGAGACACCAACUGCAUAAAAUACAAAAGAAUGGGUGUUUCUAUGCGAGUAAUUCUUGGGGUAUUUAAAAUUACCACGGACUAAAGAAAAAUAUAUAACUGAAGUCUUUAGAAAAUUUAUAGUAAUGGUUGAAUUCCUUGAAAAUGUGUUAUUCAUUUAUUUUGUUAUAUUUUGUGUGGUUCAGAAGCUUGCUUUGCAAUCAUGUGGUUUAGGGCUCAGACCCACUGUUAUAACCUCGGAUUGACCAAUCCUUUGUGAAUUAAUUUAGUUGUAAGAAACUUUUCCAUGCUUGCAUAGGUCAGGCAGAAUUUGUCAAAGCAGAUUUUUAACAGCAGGGUGCCCUUCCUGCUUCAACAAAUUCCAUCUGACCCAUGCAAGCAUGGAAAGGUUUCUGUCAACCAAAUUCAUUCACUAGACAUGUUCAUGGAAGAUUGGAAACAAACAUCCUUGCUUGUAUGGCAAGUUUUAUUUAUAACCAUCACCUGAUCUCUAGGCAAGAGUAUGCCCAUAUGUACAUACAUACACGCAUACAUACACACACAUACAUACAUCAUCAAGAUUUAUCAACUGAUGCAGACAGUCAUUGGAGUGUCACUCUAAAUACUUUCAUAGUUGUCACCACUGGUAUUUGUUCUCUGUCAUGUGUUGUAGGUUUGCUGUGAUGUGACCUGUCCAGUCCUUGAUGUUGCCAAACCAAGAUUUUCCCUAUCUGCCUCUCUUUCACCCUCCCUCAAUUGUACUCCGAAAAAUGGUUUGGGGCAGUGGGGUUGUGUAUGUACAUGACUGUACUAGGUAAGCUUUCAUCUUUUUAGCUGCACAAGGAGUGGUUCUUGUCUGCCAGCUUAUUUAUUGACUUGCUACUUGGCAAAGCUAUUUGCUUUGUGCUCUAUGUAUAGGAUGUGCCAUCUGAAGCACUUGUGCUCAAAUGCCUGUGUUCUUUGCUCCAUGUCAGCUGUAAGAGUCCAGCUCUCACACACAUACAGAAGGAUCAAAGUCAGCAGGGCCUUGUACACUCUGAGUCUUGCUGGAAAACUAAUGGAAUUACUUUUCCCUGUGUUGUUCAGCUUCAUCACAGCAGCAGAGGCUAAAUUGAGUCUCGUUGUUAUCUCCUUUUGAGAUCUGCCAUCCUUGGUCAGAGUGGAUCCUAGCAUGAUGUUGGUUGCUGUGUUUUGGUUAUUACUAUUAACCAGGAUCAUUCACUUUGGGUGGGUGGGUGUUUGGGUGUAGUGUGGGAGGGGUGAUCUCUAUCCCAUAUACUCCUGAUUACAUUUUCCAGUCUAGUGGUGAGCUCCUGUAGUUCUGCUUCACUGCUUUGUAACAGGUCAAUAUCAUCAGCAAAGUGCAGGUCAGAAAUGGGCCAUCCUCUAAUGGAAAUGGAGGAGUGAAAGUCUUCUAGUAUCUCCUGCAUGAUGUUCUCCAGGAAGAGGUUGAAAAGCACUGGAGUGAGGAUACAUCCUUAACCAACACUCACUAUUGUCUUCAAGAUUUCCCAGAUGUUGCUCAGGAGAACUGCAUUGCUUGAGUUUUUAUACAGUGCUUGGAUUACUUUGAUGAGGUUGUUGUCAAAGUUGUAAUUCUUAAUCACCUUCCACAACCCAUCGUGCCAAAAACAGUCAAAGGCUUCUUUGAAGUCAGUGAAGUUUUGGUAGAAGUCAUACUGGUGUUGAAGAUAUUUCUCAGUGAGAAGUCUAAUGUUAAAAAUCUGCUCCACAGUACUUCUUUGUGGUUUAAAUCCUGUCUGUUCUUCUGCAAGGAUUUCUUCUCUCCUUCCCUUUAAGUCUGUUUAGCAGAAUUCUUAACAAUACUUUGCUGCAGUAGCUAAUUAGGCUGCUUUUUUUUUUAUAUUUCUGGUAGAAUCUUAAGUUACUUUUCUUGGGAAUGGGUAUCAUCAGUAAUUGGGUCCACUCCUUUGGCCAUUGCUUCAUCUCCCAUAUCUUCUGACAGGUAACUGUUAGUGCCUUGAUAAGCAUUGGCCAUCCAUGUUUUAACAUAAAGAAAUUAAGAAUAUGAAGACAGCAUUCCAUUGUCCCAGUCGAUUGGUCAUAUGCAUUUGGGCCUACUUUGACAUUCCAGUCUCCUAGGAUAAUGUGGGCAUCUUUUUAGGAGUCACCUUGGUGAUUUUCUCCAGGUCCUCAUAGACUUCCUAUAUGACAUCAUCAUCAUAUUCAAGCAUUGGUGCAUAGACUUGUAGGAUGAUAAUAUUCUGUGGUCUUGUGGCCUUUACCUCCUUUACCUCCUGUGGUCUUGUGGCCUUUACCUCCUUUAUCGCUUCUUAGGUAGUGUGUGUAUUUUGUGGCCAUGCGGGAGCACAACAUUCUAGGUUUUAGUUGAAUAAAUUGACCUCAGUGCUUAUUUUUUAAAGUCUGGUGGACGAAAUCUGAAAGAAUCCCUGUUUCAGAAUCCUGACCUUUGAUCAAGGAUAAUGGCAGUGGUCAUUCUUCAGCAAAAGCAAUAUUUCCCUUGGAAACAUUUCAACUCCUUUUAAAAAUGGUCUUAGUUUCCCUGAAAUGCAUUUUGCGAGAAAAAUCAAUAACUCUCAGAAAUACUGUUGCUAUAGAGAUUCUGCAUCUCAUCGAUCAAUAUUGCAUGUUCUGUUGCUAUGGCUACCCUUAAAUACAAAAUGUGAUAAAUCAUUGUCAUCAUCAUCAUCAUCGUUAUUAUUAUUUAAUAUCCGUAUUCCAUGCUGGGAUGGAAUAUAGAUAUUAUUUAUUAUUAGCAGAUGUGGUGAUUUUGGUAUUUUACCUCUUUCAGAAUCUGAGAUUACUAAGUAUCUGUAUCAUGGUGGUAUUAGUGGUGGGGUGCAAUGGCAUUGCGUUGUGUAUUGUUUUGUUGUGUGUAUAUAUGUGUAUGUAUGUAUGUGAGUGUGUAAUCUCUAUAUAUAAAACUGAGAAUGUGUGUCUGUCUGUGUGAAUCCCUAAAACUUGAGAAAUACACAACCAAUUUCAUUCAAAUUUUACACAUGCGCGGAUUGUGACACAGAUCAUUCACUAAUAAGAAGUAGGGUGAGGAUUCUGCCUAAAAAAGUUCAUCACUCCAAGAAAAUGGGCUGACCACGCAUUAACACUGCCAGCACCUCAGACCCUACACUGCGACAAUGUUUUGCUGUUUCUAUUAAGGUUGCCCUCAGUAGCUGCCCAACCUCCUCUGCUGAAAGUAGGUGGAAUUAUAUCAGGGAAGCUUGGUAUACCACAUCAAUAGAUACUUUCGGCAUGAGAGAAAGGCAAAACCCAGAUUGGUUCAGUGCUGGGCUCUCAGAACUGGAAACAGUUAUCGAAGUGACGCAUGCAGCUCUGAUGCAAUACAAGAGUGAUUAUUCUACAAAGUCACUCGAAGAACUCAGAAAGGCUAGAAAUAAAACCCAACUGACUGCCAGACGCUGUGCAAAUAGGUAUUGGCAGGAAAUCUGUCAGAGUAUCCAGUCAGCUGCUGACAGUGGCGACACCCGUGGGAUGUAUGCCAGUUUGAAGAAGACCCUUGGUCCAUCCGCAACCAAGUCAGCCCCAUCUGAAAUCAACUACUGGAGAUCUAAUCAAGGACCAAAGCAAGCAAAUGGAUGGAGUACUACCAGGAUCUUUACUCACAGGAGACCACAGUAGCUGAGGCUGCAAUCGAGGGUGUCAAGAUCUUGCCAGUCAUGUGCGAACUUGACAGGCUGCCAUCUAUAGCAGAGCUCACCAAGGCUAUUGACUCCCUAGCAAGUAACAAGGCUCCGGGAAAAGACGGCAUCCCCUUAGAGAUCAUCAAAACCGGCAAAAACACCAUCCUGCUUCGGCACCUUCAUGAGCUUCUGUGUCAGCACUGGGAAGAGGAUACAGUCCCUCAGGAUAUACGGGAUACUAACAUCAUUACGCUUUACAAAAACAAAGGUGACCGUGGUGAUUGUAACAAUUACCGUGGAAUAUCUCUUCUAAGCACUGUUGGAAAGGCCUUUGCUCGCAUUAUCCUGUCCAGGUUACAACUGCUUGCUUCUUGAAUUUAUCCAGAAUUGCAGUGUGGCUUUAGAAGAAGCAGAUCAACUAUUGACAUGAUAUUCUCCAUACGCCAACUUCAGGAGAAGUCCAGAGAGCAGAAAAUGCCAUUAUAUAUGGCCUUCAUUGAUCUGACAAAGGCCUUUGACUUGGUAAGUAGAAAAGGCCUCUUCAUCCUGCUCCAAAAAAUCAGAUGUCACCAAAGCUGCUGAGGAUCAUCAAAUUUUCCCAUGAUGGUAUGCAAAGCACCAUACAGCACAAUGGUUCAACAUCAGUUGCCUUCCAAAUGAAAAAUGGGUUAAAGCAAGGUUGUGUCCUUGCUCCUACAUUAUUUGGCAUCUUGUUCUCGCUGCUGUUGUCACAUGCCUUUGAGACAUCAGAUGAUGGAGUGUUUCUGCACAGUAGAAGUGAUGGGAAACUGUUCAAUCUCUCGCGUCUGCGUGCCAAGACCAAAAUCAGAAGCGUCCUGAUCAAGGAGAUACUAUUUGCUGAUAAUGCCACUCUGGUAUCACACAGAAGAAGCCCUACAAAGGCUCAUCAACUGUUUUGAGCAAGCAUGUAGUGACUUUGGCUUAGUUAUCAGCCCCAAGAAGACCAACAUCAUGGGUCAGGCUACAUCGGACAUCCCAAACAUACAUAUUGGAGACCACAGACUACAGGAGGUGGAGAAGUUUACCUACGAGGGAUGUUCAAUAAGUAAUGCCUCUGACCCACUUGCAGUUGUUUGAUCUAGCUGAAAUUUUGCAUGUGCAAUUAUUUAUAUCUCUAUAGAGUAAGUGGCAAAUUACAGCUCUGAAUUAAUUGUGGUUUUUGAUUUACAGGUGUUUGAACCGAGUCAAGUGUGAAAUGGAGCCUGUUGAGUGUCGAGCAGUGAUCCAGUUUUUGUAUUUGAAAGGACGCACACCACGGGAGACUUUUGAUGAAAUGAAAGUAACUUAUGGUGAUGAUGCCCCAUCAUAUGACCUUGUAAAACGCUGGCAUCAUGAAUUCAAACAUGGUCGGAACUCUGUGGAAACAGCUCCCAGAUCUGGUCGCUCCCAUUGAUGAGGCAUCUGUCCGUCAAGUUGAGGCUGCCAUUUUGGAAGAUCGACGCAUAAUUAUUCGCCAAAUAGCCCAUGAGGUCAAGAUUAGUACCGGGUCUGUGGAAACUAUCAUUCAUGACUAUUUGCAUAUGCAAAAGGUGUCUGCCAGAUGGAUUCCCAGGUUGCUCACGCCUUUCCAGAAGCAAGAACGCGUCGAGUGCUCGAGGGUGAAUUUGGAUAUGUGCCAAGAAGAUGAGUCAACAUUUUUCAAAAGACUGAUUACACAGGAUGAAACCUGAGUCCAUUACGAUGAUCCGGAGACCAAAGCCCAGUCAAUGCAGUGGAAGCACCGUGAUUCACCUCCUCCAAAGAAGGCAAGGGUGCAGCCCUCCGCUGGCAAGGUCAUGCUCACAGUCUUCUGGGACCAGGACGGAGUAGUGAUGACAGAUUUCCUGACAAAGGGUACCACAAUUGCAGGAGCCUAUUAUACUUCACUUUUGAGGAAAUUAAGAGAAGUUAUCAAAAUCAAGAGGCGGGACAAGAUCAGCAAAUGCAUCCUUCUCCUGCAGGACAACUCUCCGGUCCACAACUCGUGUGUCGCCAGAUCAGAAGCACAGGCGUAUGGCUAUGAACUCCUCCCCAUCCCCCCUACUUUCCUGACCUUGCACCCUCUGAUUUUCACCUCUUCCCAAUCAUGAAGUUGUUUUUGAAAGGAAAGCGUUUCCCAGAUGAUGCAGCCUUGAUUUCUGAAGUCACGUUGAGGUUGGAGGACCAAGCUGGGUUCUUCUACAAAAAUGGUCUCCAGAGCCGCAUCAAACGAUGGGAGAAAUGCGUAACUCUGGGUGGUUUCUAUGUAGAAAAAGACUAAUAACUGUGCCAAGUUUUGUUGCUCUACUGCUAUGGGAAGUGGGUCAGGGGCAUUACUUAUUGAACGCCCCUCGUAUCUUGGCUCUACCGUCACCUACAACCUAUCCCUUGAUGCUGAGCUCAAUAUAUGCAUUGGCAAGGCAGCUGCUGUGAUGGCCCAACUCUCCAAACGGGCAUGGGACAACAAUAAGCUGACCAAGACCACAAAAAUGAAGAUUUACCAGGCAUGUGUACUUAGCACUCUACUGUAUGGAAGUGAGACUUGGACACUGUACACACGCCAAGAGCGUCGCCUAAAUAUCUUUCACAUGCGCUGCCUCCAGAAGAUCCUUCGCAUCAAAUAGCAGAAUCAUGUCCCCAACAAAGAUUUCCUCAAGCAAGCAGGAAUACUAAGCAUGUUUGCACUCCUCACACAAAGACGUAUGCGAUGGCUUGGAUAUGUUAGCUGUAUGGAAGAUGGCAGAAUCCUCAAGGACAUACUCAACGGAGAGCUUGCUAGGGGCACUAGGUCUAUGGGAAGACCGGUCUUAUGAUACAAGGAUGUUUGCAAAAGGGACACGAAUGCCUGCAACAUCAAUAUUACCAACUGGGAAGCAGUUGCCAGCAACCGUGGAGAUUGGCAACGUACUAUAAAAGAGGAAACACAAAGGAGUGACAUAGAGAGGGAGAGGAGAAAUGGAAAGACAAGAAAAGACGUCAACAAGAAACUAUGACAUUACAACCAGCCAGGCAAAGUCUUCACUACAUUUGUAGCACCUGCCAGAGGGAGUGUUUGUCCAGGAUAGGACUACACAGCCACAGUAGGAGAUGUAUUAGGACUUCUUAUUUUGUUCAUGUGUUUACAUCCACUUAUUAUUAUCAUUACAUAUGCUUGUAUGUAUGUAUGUAUAACAACAAUACUAGUAAUAAUAAGAAUAAAUCGAAUUUUUUUUUUAUAAUUUAAAAAAAUAUAUUUUUAAAUUUUUUUUUUUUUCGAUUCGAUUUAUUCUUAUUAUUACUAGUAUUGUUGUUAUACAUACAUACAAGCAUAUGUAAUGAUAAUAAUAAGUGGAUGUAAACACAUGAACAAAAUAAGAAUAAACAAAAACAACAACAACAAAAACAAAAUACAAAUUACAUGAACGUAUAUAAACAGAAGAUACAAAUAUUACAAGCAUCCCCCACAUACACACACUAAAUAAACAUAGACGCACAUAGAGAUAUAAGCAUGCGCAAAUGAAGACAUACAAUAGAAAUACAAAAUGGCUGACGGUUAGUAAGGAGAGACACAAAUAAGAAAGAAGAAAACAAAGGACCACUGAUGCAGUCACAGGAGUGUGACGAAAGAACUCUGGCCGAAAUAAGAUUAAGAUUAAUGUAAAAAAUAAAUAACACUGAAGCAAAGUAACACCAAAUAUAUAGUGCAUGUGUUUUUAUUGGCUAAACUGGCAAAAUGACCAUUCCGAAAUAUAACAAUAUCUGUUUCAACACACGACUUCACAUAAAAAAUCUUGCACAACAAAUAUUUAAACGUAUAUAUAUGUAUAUAUAUAUAUAUAUAACACCCUAAUGGGAGCCUUAACUCCCAAAUUUUAGUCAUUUCUUUUAUGAUCCAAAACUAGGUCAAAAGUACUGAAUGGAUCUUUAUGAAAUUUGGAUAUUAUAUGCAUAAGGACCACAACUCCCAUGACAAUUCAUAUAUUUUUGCUGUUAAUGAAAUUUUAACCAUAGAUAUUAGACACAAAUGAAGUAAUUUUUAUAAAAUUUCAUCUUCUUACAAGUUAGAAAGACCUCUCUAAGGGGACUUAACACCCACAAUUUUGUCAUUUUAUCUAAGCUAAAACGAAUACAGUUGUGCUCUUGGAAGCUGUAGGGUUACCCGAGCAUAAAAGUUGGGCAUUAUUUCUAAUUCAAUGGUACAACAGCGUAACAGUUUGCUUUGACAUACACUUACAUUGUGAUUUCUGCAAUGUGGUGCAUAAAUUGUCAAGUAAAUGAGAGGCAUCUUUGCUUCCACUGAUUCAGUUGCAAAGUGUUGAGUAAAGUUAUUUGAUUGCACACCUCCUUUCAGUCUUUUUAUUAUCACUGGGUCACACAUAAUCCCCAGAUGGUAACAUUAAUUUCAAGGCCUUCCCAGAUGAGUGACUGGUUAUUCAAAGACAUUUAUAGAUUGUAAAUUUAUCUGUCCAGUUACGUAUGAGUAUAAUGGUCAUUUGCAAACCCCAGAGGUGACACUUUAAUUUCUCCUUAGCCCUCAUGUCACAGUUGUUAAUGUUGAUUUCAGUUGGCUCAUGCCCUUCCAAUUGCUAUAGAUUUGUAAUGCAUCUUAUGGCUGUGCGUGUCACCUGGAUGCUGAGGAUUCCUACACUGGGAGUGGUAACAACUAGGGUAGGGUAACUGACUGCUUAUAGUGAUCAUUUGUCUUUUGGUUUCCUGUAGCUUUGCUCUCUUUCCUAUUUCAAAGAAAUUCAAACAAUAGAUAUAAGACCCAAGUUAAAAAGAUUCUCAACAAUUCAACUUCUCUGGUUGACAUUAAGAUGCCCACCCCCAACAGGGGCCUUUACUCUCACAUUUUAGAGCAACAUAACCUUCAUUUUUCAGGAGCAAAAUCUUUUUAACAGGUUCAGUAAGACUGGAAUUUUGGAAUAUGCGCAUAAAAAUCAGUAGUAUGGGAUACAUGUAGCAUGAUUACAAUUUUUUUAGGAUGUGUAAAGAGGGAAAUAACCCUCAUCUGCAAUUUUGAUGAAAUUUGAAACAUAAAUAUUCCACUUCAUUACAGAAAAUAUAACAGAAAAGUCUAAUUCUUCAAUUGAAUGUAACCGGGCAACUCUGCUAGUAUAUAUAUAUAUAUAUAUAUAUAUAUAUAUAUAUAUAUAUAUAUAUAUAUAUAUAUUUGGGUUGGCAACUAAGUACCUGCCAAUUUUUUAACUUUUGGAAUUUAUUGUGUUUUUAAAUGUUGGAAUCUAUUUUAUUUGAGAAUUCUAUUUUUGAAACAUUUUGGAAUCUAUUUUGUUUUUUUUCUAGUUAAUUUUAGUUAAUUUUUUGUUUAUUUUCAGAUCAUUACAAUGGAAUGUUAAAUUUAGAAAAACG
Molecule: long non-coding RNA, 17783 nt
Filed under: Octopus vulgaris (common octopus)
Lineage: Eukaryota; Metazoa; Mollusca; Cephalopoda; Octopoda; Octopodidae
Source: RNAcentral